UACGUAGGGUGCGAGCGUUGUCCGGAAUUACUGGGCGUAAAGGGCGCGUAGGCGGAUAGUUUAGUCAGAGGUGAAAGCCCAGGGCUCAACCUUGGAAUUGCCUUUGAUACUGGCUAUCUUGAGUUCGGGAGAGGUGAGUGGAAUGCCGAGUGUAGAGGUGAAAUUCGUAGAUAUUCGGCGGAACACCAGUGGCGAAGGCGACUCACUGGCCCGAUACUGACGCUGAGGCGCGAAAGCGUGGGGAGCAAACAGG
Molecule: ribosomal RNA, 253 nt
Filed under: uncultured bacterium
Lineage: Bacteria
Description: partial 16S ribosomal RNA
Rfam family: Bacterial small subunit ribosomal RNA
Source: RNAcentral